GGCCUCUUUGUCAGCUGGAGUUGCGCGGGCUGACGCGCCACUAUGUAGCGGGUUUCGGGCGGGCCACGCGUGCGGGACAGGAACCCAACCCCAGCCGACCUUGAGCUCCAGGAGUUCGUCUCUUACGUCUGCGGAAGUGCAGCUGCCUCAGUUCUUAGCGCAGGUUGACAACUACAGGCACAAGCCAUUGAAGCUGGAAUGUCCUGUUGCUGGUAAAGAAAUGGAUUAGUGAUAACUCAAGUUUCAUCACCUCUCUACAAGUUUCACGCUGUUUAAGUCAUGAACCUACAAAAGCCUGUGAAAAAAUCUUUGAAGAUGCUCAGCUUGUUUCAGUCUGAAAUUUCUCCAAGACCAAUGAACAAAACAGGAUCAUGCCCUGAAUACACACCCAAGCUGCAGGCUCCUGCUUAGCCCUAUUUUGGUUUGGCCUCCAUGAGAUCUUCAGCCACAAUAGCAGGAGAUAAAAAUCUUCCUAGAAGCUUUCAUCAGCUGCAAGUUUUCUUACAGAAUGAAACUUUUCUGCUAUUUUUCUCAUAGUUAAUUGGCUAUUUGAGAAAACCGAAUUUCUGGCUCUCAGCAUUUAAUUGGAUUCUGUGGGUGACUGGAUGACCGCUUUGCACAUCACCAUGGGUAUCAUCCUUACCUUCUUUAAACCUUUUGUGCCAGUCAAAAAUUCUUGCUCUUGAUAUGUCAUCACCGGAAACUACUUUUUUUUUUUGUUUCUCUUUUGUGACAGGGUCUUCCUCUGUCACCCAGGCUGAGGUGGGAUGAUCGCUUGAACUCGGGAGGUAGAGGUUGCAGUGAGCCGAGAUCGCGCCACUGCACUCCAGCCUGGGCGACAGAGCGACACCGUCUUAAAAAAAAAAAAAA
RNAcentral lists this long non-coding RNA (870 nucleotides) under Homo sapiens (human). Its description in RNAcentral is "differentiation antagonizing non-protein coding RNA". Lineage: Eukaryota; Metazoa; Chordata; Mammalia; Primates; Hominidae. The record is from RNAcentral.